UACGUAGGGGGCAAGCGUCGUCCGGAAUUAUUGGGCGUAAAGAGCUCGUAGGCGGUUCGUCGCGUCGGCUGUGAAAACCCGAGGCUCAACCUCGGGCCUGCAGUCGAUACGGGCGGACUGGAGUUCGGCAGGGGAGACUGGAAUUCCUGGUGUAGCGGUGAAAUGCGCAGAUAUCAGGAGGAACACCGGUGGCGAAGGCGGGUCUCUGGGCCGAUACUGACGCUGAGGAGCGAAAGCGAGGGGAGCGAACAGG
RNAcentral lists this ribosomal RNA (253 nucleotides) under uncultured bacterium. RNAcentral's name for it is "partial 16S ribosomal RNA". It matches the Rfam family "Bacterial small subunit ribosomal RNA", at positions 524 to 776 of the family's 1533-position model. The record is from RNAcentral.